This 1500-nucleotide ribosomal RNA is filed under the name uncultured bacterium. RNAcentral's name for it is "partial 16S ribosomal RNA". It matches the Rfam family "Bacterial small subunit ribosomal RNA". The record is from RNAcentral.
UGCUUAGAGUUUGAUCCUGGCUCAGGAUGAACGCUAGCGGCAGGCCUAACACAUGCAAGUCGAGGGGUAGGGUAGCAAUACCUGAGACCGGCGCACGGGUGCGUAACGCGUAUGCAAUCUACCUUGUACAGGGGAAUAGCCCAGAGAAAUUUGGAUUAAUGCCCCAUGGUGUUAUUGAGUGGCAUCGCUUAAUGACUAAAGCUUUUGUGGUACAAGAUGAGCAUGCGUCCCAUUAGUUAGUUGGUAAGGUAACGGCUUACCAAGACGAUGAUGGGUAGGGGUCCUGAGAGGGAGAUCCCCCACACUGGUACUGAGACACGGACCAGACUCCUACGGGAGGCAGCAGUGAGGAAUAUUGGGCAAUGGUCGGAAGACUGACCCAGCCAUGCCGCGUGCAGGAAGACGGUCCUAUGGAUUGUAAACUGCUUUUAUACGGGAAGAAACGGUGGUUCGUGAACCAUUUUGACGGUACCGUAUGAAUAAGCAUCGGCUAACUCCGUGCCAGCAGCCGCGGUAAUACGGAGGAUGCGAGCGUUAUCCGGAAUCAUUGGGUUUAAAGGGUCUGUAGGCGGCUUUAUAAGUCAGUGGUGAAAUCUUCCGGCUCAACCGGGAAACUGCCGUUGAUACUGUAAGGCUUGAAUUAUUGUGAAGUAGCUAGAAUAUGUAGUGUAGCGGUGAAAUGCUUAGAUAUUACAUGGAAUACCAAUUGCGAAGGCAGGUUACUAACAAUGGAUUGACGCUGAUGGACGAAAGCGUGGGUAGCAAACAGGAUUAGAUACCCUGGUAGUCCACGCCGUAAACGAUGUCAACUAGCCGCCGGCCUCACUCUAGAGGUCGGUGGUGCAGCUAACGCAUUAAGUUGACCGCCUGGGGAGUACGGCCGCAAGGUUGAAACUCAAAGGAAUUGACGGGGGCCCGCACAAGCGGUGGAGCAUGUGGUUUAAUUCGAUGCAACGCGAAGAACCUUACCUGGUCUUGACAUGUAGUGAACUUAGCAGAAAUGUUUUGGUGCCUUCGGGAACACUAACACAGGUGCUGCACGGCUGUCGUCAGCUCGUGUCGUGAGAUGUUGGGUUAAGUCCCGCAACGAGCGCAACCCCUGUCCCUAGUUGCCAGCACAUAAUGGUGGAACUCUAGGGAGACUGCCGGUGACAAACCGGAGGAAGGUGGGGAUGACGGCAAGUCAUCAUGGCCCUUAUGACCAGGGCUACACACGUGCUACAAUGGGCAGUACAGAGGGAAGCAAAAUCGCGAGAUCAAGCAAAUCCCAGAAAGCUGUCCGUAGUCCGGAUCGGAGUCUGCGACUCGACUCCGUGAAGUCGGAAUCGCUAGUAAUCGCGAAUCAGCAUGUCGCGGUGAAUACGUUCCCGGGCCUUGUACACACCGCCCGUCACACCAUGGGAGUUUGUUGCACCAGAAGCAGGUAGUCUAACCGAAAGGAGGGCGCUUGCCACGGUGUGGCCGAUGACUGGGGUGAAGUCGUAACAAGGUAACCAAGCC